This 433-nucleotide ribosomal RNA is filed under the name uncultured bacterium. RNAcentral describes it as "partial 16S ribosomal RNA". It matches the Rfam family "Bacterial small subunit ribosomal RNA", at positions 29 to 507 of the family's 1533-position model. The record is from RNAcentral.
AACGAACGCUGGCGGCAUGCCUAACACAUGCAAGUCGAACGAGACCUUCGGGUCUAGUGGCGCACGGGUGCGUAACGCGUGGGACCCUGCCCUUAGGUUCGGAAUAACUCCCCGAAAGGGGUGCUAAUACCGGAUAAUGUCUUCGGACCAAAGAUUUAUCGCCUUUGGAUGGGCCCGCGUUGGAUUAGCUAGUUGGUAGGGUAAAAGCCUACCAAGGCGACGAUCCAUAGCUGGUCUGAGAGGAUGAGCAGCCACACUGGGACUGAGACACGGCCCAGACUCCUACGGGAGGCAGCAGUGGGGAAUAUUGGACAAUGGGCGAAAGCCUGAUCCAGCAAGGCCGCGUGAGUGAUGAAGGCCUUAGGGUUGUAAAGCUCGUUUACCCGGGAUGAUAAUGACAGUACCGGGAGAAUAAGCACCGGCUAACUCCGUG